RNAcentral lists this ribosomal RNA (482 nucleotides) under uncultured bacterium. RNAcentral's name for it is "partial 16S ribosomal RNA". It matches the Rfam family "Bacterial small subunit ribosomal RNA", at positions 30 to 507 of the family's 1533-position model. The record is from RNAcentral.
AUUGAACGCUGGCGGCAUGCCUUACACAUGCAAGUCGAACGGUAACGGGCCUUCGGGUGCCAACGAGUGGCGAACGGGUGAGUAAUACAUCGGAACGUGCCCGAUCGUGGGGGAUAACGCGGCGAAAGCUUUGCUAAUACCGCAUACGAUCUCCGGAUGAGAGCGGGGGACCGCAAGGCCUUGCGCGGACGGAGCGGCCGAUGGCAGAUUAGGUAGUUGGUGGGAUAAAAGCUUACCAAGCCGACGAUCUGUAGCUGGUCUGAGAGGAUGAUCAGCCACACUGGGACUGAGACACGGCCCAGACUCCUACGGGAGGCAGCAGUGGGGAAUUUUGGACAAUGGGCGCAAGCCUGAUCCAGCCAUGCCGCGUGCAGGAUGAAGGCCUUCGGGUUGUAAACUGCUUUUGUACGGAACGAAAAGCCUUCUUUUAAUACAGGAGGGUCAUGACGGUACCGUAAGAAUAAGCACCGGCUAACUACGUG